RNAcentral lists this long non-coding RNA (259 nucleotides) under Capsella rubella. Its description in RNAcentral is "long non-coding RNA (CRUB_LNC004930)". The record is from RNAcentral. Lineage: Eukaryota; Viridiplantae; Streptophyta; Magnoliopsida; Brassicales; Brassicaceae.
UCUUUCUGAGUUUGAUCUAAUUUCGUAUAAUUUGACUUAAUUAUUUUGUUUAUCGAUGAAAAUUUGAGUUCUGAUACUUUUCACGAUUAUAAAAUUACCACAUUGGAUUUUAGUAAUCGCAAAACCCAUGGCAUGGCGAUUUUGGUAAUAGAAUUAUUAAUUUCGAUCUUUUUCAUAUAUACACUCCAUGUAUAUAAAACAAGACUCUUUGUAAAAAAACAAAAAUCAAAAAAAAUAAAUAAAUAAAUAAAGAUUUAAG